This 492-nucleotide ribosomal RNA is filed under the name uncultured bacterium. RNAcentral's name for it is "partial 16S ribosomal RNA". It matches the Rfam family "Bacterial small subunit ribosomal RNA", at positions 29 to 507 of the family's 1533-position model. The record is from RNAcentral.
AGUGAACGCUGGCGGUAGGCCUGACACACGCAAGUCGAACGGCAGCACAGUAAGAGCUUGCUCUUACGGGUGGCGAGUGGCGGACGGGUGAGGAAUACAUCGGAAUCUACUUUUUCGUGGGGGAUAACGUAGGGAAACUUACGCUAAUACCGCAUACGACCUACGGGUGAAAGCAGGGGAUCUUCGGACCUUGCGCGAUUGAAUGAGCCGAUGUCGGAUUAGCUAGUUGGCGGGGUAAAGGCCCACCAAGGCGACGAUCCGUAGCUGGUCUGAGAGGAUGAUCAGCCACACUGGAACUGAGACACGGUCCAGACUCCUACGGGAGGCAGCAGUGGGGAAUAUUGGACAAUGGGCGCAAGCCUGAUCCAGCCAUACCGCGUGGGUGAAGAAGGCCUUCGGGUUGUAAAGCCCUUUUGUUGGGAAAGAAAAGCAGCAGGUUAAUACCCCGCUGUUCUGACGGUACCCAAAGAAUAAGCACCGGCUAACUUCGUG